CUGGUAGGUGGGUAGAAUAUACCAAGGGGAUCGAGAGAACCUUCGUUAAGGAAUUAGGCAAAUUUCCCCCGUACGUUCGCAAUAAGGGGGGCCUCUGGUGGUUAGCUUCGGCGAAGCUGCUGGAGGCCGCAGUGAAAUGGCUCUUCCAACUGUUUAACAAAAACACAGGUCUCUGCUAAGUCGAAAGACGAAGUAUAGGGGCUGACGCCUGCCCAGUGCUGGAAGGUUAAGGGGAGAGGUUAGCCGUAAGGCGAAGCUUUGAGCCGAAGCCCCAGUGAACGGCGGCCGUAACAAUAACGGUCCUAAGGUAGCGAAAUUCCUUGUCGGGUAAGAUCCGACCCGCACGAAUGGCGUAAUGAGAGGAGCACUGUCUCAACGAGGGACUCGGCGAACAUUGAAGGACGUGUGAAGAUACACGUGACCCGCAGCGGGACAAAAAGACCCCGUGAAGCUUUACUAUAACUUGCCAUUGAGUUAGGGCUAAAUCUGUGUAGCAUAGGUGGGAGGCUUUGAAGCUGGGACGCCAGUCUCGGUGGAGCCACCGUUGAAAUACCACCCUGAUUUAUUCUUGGCUCUAACCUGUAGCCGUUAUCCGGCAUGGGGACAGUGGCUGGUGGGUAGUUUGACUGGGGCGGUCGCCUCCGAAAGAGUAACAGAGGCGCCCAAAGGUUCCCUCAGGCUGAAUGGAAACCAGCCGUUGAGUGUAAAGGCACAAGGGAGCUUGACUGCAAGACAUACGCGUCGCGCAGGUACGAAAGUAGGGCUUAGUGAUCCCACGGUUCAGAGUGGAAUGGCCGUGGCUUACCGGAUAAAAGCUACUCCGGGGAUAACAGGGUAGUCUGGUCCAAGAGUUCAUAUCGACGACCAGGUUCGCCACCUCGAUGUCGGCUCAUCACAUCCUGGGGCUGGAUAAGGUCCCAAGGGUUGGGCUGUUCGCCCAUUAAAGUGGUACGUGAGCUGGGUUCAGACCGUCGUGAGACAGGUCGGUCUCUAUCCGCUGUGGGCGUAAGGGAUUUGAGAGAAGCUGUCCCUAGUACGAGAGGACCGGGAUGGACAGACCUCUAGUGUGCCAGUUGUUCCGCCAGGGGCAUUGCUGGGUAGCUACGUCUGGCAGAGAUAACCGCUGAAAGCAUCUAAGUGGGAAACUCGUCUCAAGACUAGAUCCCUCAUCCGUAUGGAGUAAGACCACUAGAAGACUACUAGUUUGAUAGGCGGCAGGUGUACGCAUAGUAAUAUGUUCAGCCAAGCCGUACUAAUGGUCGAGGGCUUACGUU
This 1274-nucleotide ribosomal RNA is filed under the name metagenome. RNAcentral describes it as "bacterial LSU rRNA". It matches the Rfam family "Bacterial large subunit ribosomal RNA", at positions 1660 to 2925 of the family's 2925-position model. The record is from RNAcentral.